This is a long non-coding RNA of Daphnia pulicaria, 1884 nucleotides long. RefSeq lists it as uncharacterized. Lineage: Eukaryota; Metazoa; Arthropoda; Branchiopoda; Diplostraca; Daphniidae. The transcript is spliced from 9 exons. The record is from RefSeq and is a predicted model, not a curated record.
AAAAAGUCCAUAUUUUGUAACGCGUCCUUGGUUCCGUUAUCACUGCAUAGGGCAGCAUAGUUCAAGUGUUACGGGAUUAAAUAUUCAAAUGAUGAGCUGUCUGAAAAUCUUGGAAGCAAGCAAUCCAGCGAUCCAGCCGUUCAUUCGUUUCUGGUUUGUGGAUGCUGAGGACUGUCGCUAGGUGGCGAGUGCCUAUCCGUCAGUGACAAUUUGUGCCAUUUCUUUCCGAAACGCUGUGCGAGUGAGAUAAUGAAUGCAAAUCGUAAUGGUUUACUGCGAAUUAAAUAGUUAUUUGUAUGGCGACAUAGCGUACAAUUUCUACUUGGCAAUUUCAUCUGCUAAUGGUGUGGCAUUGAGCAGCUGUACAUUUUGCCAAAAUGUCUCUUUUUCCUGUACCUGGAGUGCACGUUUCGUCAACUUCAGAACAAUUAAAGUUGUUUAACUUUAUAAAGCUAAUUUUCAGUUGUAUCUACAUUGAAAAAGCUUGAAAACUCCUGGUAAUUGGUAAAGUCUUCAGAGCUCCUUCGUUGUUGCACAACAUGCACAUAGAUUUGAUGUAGCCAAAUGGUUAAAGGUAUUCAUCUUGCUACUUGUCCUGCUGUGUGUUUCUUUACAUAAAGAAGUUUCAUUUACCUUUGCUGUGAACUUCAAUAAGAUGUGCACUAAUUGAAGGCCAGUUGUUCCCGUAGUUGAUGUCCGCCGUGGGACGUUGUUGCAGCCUAUGCUGGUGAGGUGAAAGAUCUUUUUACAUCUCAUGUUAAACUGCAGGCUGUUCCUUGGUGCUGGUGUCGUGUUACCGAAGUUGCAUCAUUGUUUUGUUUAAUUGUCAUUGGGUCUGCAGUUUAUCGUUUACAUGUUAUGAGGGAACAAGCCCAUCAUGCUGUCAAUCCUAAAACUCAUGUUUGACGCACACACAUCCUGGAAUACAAAUGUUCUGAGAUAAGGAUCUUUUCCGAAUCUCACAAUUUUGGUGGUGUACCCUGCAACAGCAUGUUUGUUGUUAUGGCUGUUUUUACUUCUGUUUAGAAGGCAACCCAGCUAAGAAAUAGAGCACGCAGUUCCUUUAUGGAUACGUGUGUUCCUGGCACGGAGAUUCUUGUGCCAAUGCUGACCUUUGUUCAUGACGGAAGAGGGAUUUCCACCAAUGUCUUCUCCAUCCUUAUCUUCGCGACGUCCGCUCAUCUAGCUUCACUGCUUUGUAUGAACUGCUACACAACUUGUCUUUCUUCAUUGACGAGUUGGAUCCCUUCAGUGUCGCUUCCGCCCGCUGUGACACACCUGUAAUCAUUCACUACGGGAUUAUGCCCAGGUAAUGCAGAGGAAACGUCGAGAAGGUGGACACCAAAACGUCGUCGGUAUCUCCAAAAUGUCGGCGCACAUCAUCAUUUGUUGUUGGUAAUAUGUUUGUGAGUGUUAGUUAACCCGUUGUCUGCCACGCCUUUGUUCUCCCCUAGCUCCUUAGCACGGGCUGCGUGCGCUGUUCGGCCUCGUGGUUUUCAUGCCGCGGGGUCAGAAAGUCGCACCAGUCCAAAAUCUGCCGCAAGGCGCCUAUUAGGCAAUGCACCAUAGUUCCCCCUUUUCAGUUCAGCACGGACUUGUCAGCAAUGGCAAGUCCCACCUUGGUCAUAGAUCCUUCAGACGUGGCGCGUAGAGUAGUAGAGAGCAACCUACGGGUUGUAUGGCGUGGCAGCCAACGGGUUAACUUAAGUGUACGUAUGUACAUGUGUAUCAAUGUAUAUGUUUGUUUGUGAUUGUAAAAUAUGGUGGAGUUGUGGGUGAAGGUGGGACAUUAGAACAAUUCCUUUUCUAAGUUUUGUGUUUGCUGUGACAUAUAGCCAAGUGAUAUACUUUGCAACUUUUUGUUAUGCCAACUUAAGUAAAAAU